GAUGAACGCUGGCGGCGUGCCUAGUACAUGCAAGUCGAGCGAACGGACGAGAAGCUUGCUUUUCUGAUGUUAGCGGCGGACGGGUGAGUAACACGUGGAUAACCUACCUAUAAGACUGGGAUAACUUCGGGAAACCGGAGCUAAUACCGGAUAAUAUUUUGAACCGCAUGGUUCAAAAGUGAAAGACGGUCUUGCUGUCACUUAUAGAUGGAUCCGCGCUGCAUUAGCUAGUUGGUAAGGUAACGGCUUACCAAGGCAACGAUGCAUAGCCGACCUGAGAGGGUGAUCGGCCACCCUGAAACUGCGAGCCGGAAAAGAGUCCUACGGGAGGCACGAUUAGGGAAUCUUACGCAAUGGCCGAAAGCCUGACGGAGCAACGCCGCGUGAGUGAUGAAGGUCUUCGGAUCGUAAAGCUCUGUUAUUAGGGAAGAACAUAUGUGUAAGUAACUGUGCACAUCUUGACGGUACCUAAUCAGAAAGCCACGGCUAACUACGUG
This 497-nucleotide ribosomal RNA is filed under the name uncultured bacterium. Its description in RNAcentral is "partial 16S ribosomal RNA". It matches the Rfam family "Bacterial small subunit ribosomal RNA", at positions 28 to 507 of the family's 1533-position model. The record is from RNAcentral.